GAUGAUCUAUAUUGUUUUGUUGCUUUACUUAAUGUUAUACCAUGCACUAUUCAUUAGGGUUGAACUUUUUAGCUUUUCAGCUUGCUUUGCACUGACUUUUCAUGAAACAAGCAUGUUCAGAAAAGUUUGAACACCAAAAGUUCUCAAGUAUACUUUUUUGUUUAAUAUAUUUAUGUUUCAAUGGCAGACAUUGCACAUUGCUGUUAUUUUGAUAUACUUGCAGUAUUACAUUAACUAUUUGUCACUUCAUAGUUUUCAUGAAACUUAAAUUUUUUUUUCGAAAACGCGCAGGAGAGCUGCGCCCCUUUUUAUAUAUUAAGAAGAUAGGAAAAAGGUCUAAAAUAGACCAAAUAACAGCAGGCCUCCUCACGGGGGCCAGAAAAUAGCAUACAAAAAAGAACUGUGCAUCCACUCUAACAGUCACAACCAUGGUUUUUAAAGCGGUAAGGCGCUCCAAGGCGUUGGACCACCGCCUAGACGCCUAGGCGGCGCCUAGGCGACGCCUAGGCGAGGUAGGCGGGCAAGGCGCCUAGGCGUCAGACCACCGCCCGGACGCCUAGGCGUCGCCUAGGCGACGCCUAGGCGACGCCUUAAAAACAGUGGUCACAACUAGUCAAACAGUAAAUAAAUGUGCAUUUACUUUGGAUCUAGAAACUUUUACAUCAUGACCAACCAUUCCUUAUUCUAGAACUUGUGAGUUUUUUUCUUGCACCAUGCAAAGAACUGUGUGUCCUUUCAUUAAGAAAGAAAAAGAGGUACCCCUCUAGGGGAUCAGAAGCCCCAAGAGUAAAACAAUAUUAAUAGAUUUAGUUGUGUGAGCUAAGGCCCUUGUACUUAGUCACCCUCAUGGGCUUAGGGUUAGGUGUGAUAUAUAGGCUAGCGUCAUUUGCCGCCGUCCCAUUUAGAUGAGAUCUGGACUCGAGUCCCCUAGGAUAGGGACUCUCCUAUCCUGUAUAUAUAUGUACAUGUACCCCUACUCUAAAUCCAUCUACAAUUGCCCUACUUUCAUGGUGUCAUUGUUGAAGUGUAUAAGUGGAUCGCCUACCUUCUCCUAAUAGCUUAAGCUUUUGGGUUGUACUGUUUAGUGCAUCCACUCUAACAGUCACCAUAGUUCUUAAGGCGGUAAGGCGAGACAAGGCGUUGGGCCACCGCCUGGACGCCUAGGCGACGCCUAGGCGCUUACUAAGGCGAGCAAGGCGACGCCUUACCAAUUAAACAAAAGACAGAACAACAACAUAUAUGAGGAAGAAAAAGAAAAAGGGAGAAAGAAAAAAAAGAAGGAAGGGGUAGAAGGAGAUGGCCCAGCCCACCAGGCAGGCAGGCAGCCCAUAUAUCCUCCGGUUAGGGUUGCUGAGUUGCUCCCAUCUCACUGCCGCCGCUCGUCCACAACCAUGCAUCGCUGCUCCUGCUCCCCCAAGCUCGGCGGCGCUCCCCUGAGUCUCAGCGGCGGCGCUUCCCCGAGCUCUGCACCGCCGCUCCGCCGAGCUCUGCACCGCCGCUCCCCCGAGCUCUGCGCCGCCGCUCGCCCGAGCUCGGCACUCCCUGCGCCGCCGCUCCCCCGAGCUCGGCACUCCCUGCGCCGCCGCUCCCCCGAGCUCGGCACUCCCUGCGCCGCCGCUCCCUCGAUCCCGCUCCCCAAAGUCGUCUCUGCUAGGCUUCUUCCCCCUCCCCUCUUGCCGACUCUUGGCUAGGCGACGGGGACGCCUAGACUUUUUGGCCGCCUGGACGCCUAGGCGUCGCCUAGGCGACGCCUAGGCGACGCCUUUGAAACCAUGACAGUCACAAGUUUGGGAUCUUCCCUGAUUUCUCUUCCACCCUCCUUCCAGCCGCCUCUAGCGCUGCUCCCCAGCGCCACUGCUUUCCCUUGCUGUUGUGGUGCGCACCUCCUCCCUAGUCUACGCACCGCCGUCGCCUCCUGCGCACGUGCACUGCUGCCGUGACAGGCACGGAGAAAUCUUCCGUUGAGCUUGAAGCCAUUGUCGUUGAGGCAGCGUGCCAUGCCAGGCGAAGCUCACGAUGCUGUUAUCGUUGUGGCCAACUAGGCUGAUCUGGAUGCUAUCACUGCGAUCAAGGAGUGCGACAUUGCCAUUGUUCGUGCGAACGACGCUAUCGCGCGGCAGGCUGCCUUCGGCGACUAGACUGUUGGUGAUGGCCCCAAGGAUGCCGACAACUUCAAUGACUCCUUCCCCUGAUCAGGGCGCCUUCCUCAACCUCCAUGCCCAGUCGGUUGCUGUCCAGCACAUCCGCUCGCUCAUAAUCGUUGUCCUCUACAUCGAUUCCGACAACUACACCCACUGUCGUGAGUAGAUGCUGCUCACUCUUGGCAAGUACUCCCUCAACGACCACAUCCUCUCUGCCUCAACGCCACCCUCCCCUAACUAGACUUGCAUGGAUUGCGUGGUCAAGUCGUGGAUCUACGACACUCUCCACCGACCUCGUCGACACAGUGAUGGAGCACAGUUGCAACGCCUUCUCGGCCUGGCUUGCCAUUGAAUCCCAUUUCCUUGGCAAACGGGAGCACCGCGCGCUCCUUGACGCGCGGUUCCGGACCUUUGUCCAGGGCGACCUUUCCAUCACCGACUACUGUCGUCGUCUCAAGGGCAUGGCUGAUGCCCUCGGUGACCUCGUUCAUCCGGUCACUGAUCGCACCCUCGUCCUUAACGUCAUCCGCGGCCUAGAAGAAGAUCAUUCAUGGCUAAGAUAACAAUGGCACCUUUACAGCUCCUUGCUGCUCCUAUCCUCCCCAAGCGGUCAAGGGGUGCCACAAAACAUGGUACUGCGCUACGACGGAGCCGACAUGUUGCAGGGGCAGGGGUGGAAUUUAACAUGCAGGAUCUGGAGAACAGAGCCACAAAACAAGUAAUGCGGACUCUGAGAGUCAUCACAGAGAAUGCAAGCAUCAACCAGCAAGCUGUUAAGGAUUAUGAGAAUCUUUUUCAGCAUCCCUUAACUCAAAGUCAUGUUGAAGCGUUAGCGGCUCUCUUUGGAUGGGAGACUCCGGGGAAUCUCUUCCCGUAGUGUGUUUUUCUUUCUGGGUUGUAAUUUAUAAUUGUUGUAAUGGAUCCUAGCAAAAUUAUAUGUUGGAAUGUGAGAGGUUUAAAUUCAGCUGAUCGUCAAAAUUCAGUCCGGAAUCUAGUUCUGUCCUCUAAAGCUGAUGUGGUCUGUCUCCAGGAAACUAAAAUGACUGUCAUUUCUACAAGAACCAUUCUUGCAGCCUUGGGUUCGGAUUUCUGCCAGUUCUCCUUUCUACCAUCUUGUGGUGCUAGUGGUGGUGUGCUGGUUGCUUGGAAGCGACAUCUGGGAGUGACUGGGUUGUCUAGGAUUGACAGAUACAGCAUUUCAAUCCAAUUCUGCAAUGCGCAUAAUCGCUGCUGGUGGUUAACUUGUGUUUAUGGUCCUCAAAGUAACAGUGAUAAGAUGUUGUUUCUUCAAGAACUGAGAGACGUCAGGGCUGCUUGCACUGGACCCUGGUUGAUUGCUGGUGACUUCAAUCUCAUCUACAGGGCUUCAGAUAAAAAUAAUUCAAAUAUUAACAGAGCUAUGAUGGGGAGAUUUAGAAAGUUGGUUGAGGACUUGAGUCUCAAUGAGGUUCCACUUUUUGGGCGUAAAUACACGUGGUCAAAUCAGCAAGACAGUCCUGUUCUUGUUAAGCUUGACAGGGUCCUCUGUUCAGUGGAGUGGGAAGACAUUUUUCCAAAUGUCCUUCUUCAAAGUGCUGCCUCUGAAGGCUCCGACCAUUGCCCCCUGCUGCUUGGCAUUAGAGAUAAUAAAAUGGGUAAAAGACGUUUCUGUUUUGAAGCUUUUUGGCCCAAAUUGGAAGGAUUCCAGGAUGUCAUCCAGGAGGUUUGGGAUUCUGUGGCAGCUGUAAACUGCCCUUUCAUGACUCUGAAUUUGAAACUAAAAGCCACAGCUAGGAAGCUGCAAUCUUGGAGUGGGAAGCAUGUGGGACAUGUGAGGACUCAGUUGGCUUUGGCAAAGGAAAUUCUGCAUAGACUAGAAAUAGCGCAGGACUGCAGAGCUUUAUCCUUGGCUGAAAUCUGGUUAAGUAAUUUGCUGAAAAAGCACUCCCUGUUUUUAUCUUCACUUCAACGGACCAUUGCUAGAUCGAGAUCGAGGAUCUCUUGGCUUAAAGAGGGGGAUGCUAAUACCAAACUCUUUCAUAUGCACUCUCGACAUCGAAAAAGGAGGAAUUUUGUUGCACAACUGGUGAAUGGAGACCAGAUUCUCACUAGUCAUGAUGAUAAAGCAGUUUUGGUGGACAAUUUCUACGCCAGACUAAUUGGUGAAUGUGGGGAUAGGGAGCAGACUAUUAAUCUGGAGGCGUUGCACAUGCCAACUUUCAAUCUUGCACACCUUGAUGAGCCUGUUACAGAGCUUGAACUUUGGAAUACAAUUAAGAGUUUACCUAAUGACAAGGCCCCAGGUCCCGAUGGUUUCACUGGGCGCUUCUAUAAAUCUUGUUGGAACAUUAUCAAGAUGGAUCUUAUGGCUGUAGUUGCUGCGGUUUGGAACAGGAAGUUUGACAAUUUUUGCUUGCUGAACUCGGCCUACAUUACUUUAAUCCCAAAGCAUGAUGGGGCUGUGCAUGUCAAAGACUUUAGGCCAAUCAGUUUGGUGCAUAGUGCUGCAAAGUUGAUCACAAAAUUAUUGGCCAAUCGGUUAAGUCAAAAGCUGAAUGAUAUGGUGUCUCCAAUCCAGAGUGCCUUCAUUAAGGGACGUUUCAUUCAGGAUAAUUUUAUGUUGGUCCAACAAACGGCUAGACUUUUCCAUCAACAGAAAAGGCCACGUCUUCUCCUCAAGCUUGAUAUUACUAAAGCUUUUGAUUCGGUUUCUUGGCCUUUCCUCAUCGAAGUUAUGAAGUAUCUUGGCUUUGGACAAAUUUGGAGGGACAUCAUUUGUGGGCUUCUUUCCUCCUCUAGCACUCAGGUGCUUUUGAAUGGCAUUCCAGGAGGACAUAUUGAAUAUAGAAGAGGGCUCCGACAAGGGGAUCCUCUCUCCCCCAUGCUCUUUAUUCUAGUUAUGGAUGUUCUUGGUCUACUGUUUUGUAAAGCUGAACACGCUGGUCUGCUCUUGGAUCUUUCCCCCAGAAGACCUCUGCAUCGGGUUUCUAUGUAUGCAGAUGAUGUGGCACUCUUCUUACACCCUUCGGCAGCGGAUAUUGCUAUAACUCUAGAUAUUUUACAUCUAUUUGGGGAAGCUUCAGGUCUCCGCAACAACGAACAAAAGUCUAAUGUUUAUCCCAUUCAGUGUGGGGGUGUGGAGCUGGAAAUGGUUCAGGAUCUUCUCCCUUGUGGCAUCUCGACCUUUCCGUGUAAAUACCUGGGGCUGCCUCUGUCCCUGAAAAAUCUCACCAAGGAUCAGGUGCAGCCUAUUGUGGAUAGAAUUGCUGAUCAGCUGCCAGGCUGGAAAGCAGAUUUGAUGACAAGAGCAGGCCGUAAAGUGCAAGUUCAGCAUGUGCUUACCGGAAUGCUUAUUUAUCUUGCUAUGGCAGUAAAUAUUCCGUCUUGGGCUAUUAAGGCCAUUGAUAAAAUUAGAAGAAGUUUCCUUUGGAGAGGGCGCAAGGAGGCCAGAGGUGGUCACUGCCUGGUGGCCUGGGGCAGAGUCUGUAGACCCCUACAGCUGGGCGGUCUUGGCAUUUCUAGUCUUAAAGAACUUAUCUGGGCCCUGCGCAUGAGAUGGCUUUGGCUCCAAAAGACUGAGCCUAACCGACCUUGGUGCAGCCUUCCUAUCCAGGUUCCGGAUAAAGCAAGGGCUUUCUUCUCGAUGGUGUUGACUUCAAAGGUUGGUAAUGGGGCUAAUACUUUGUUCUGGACUGAUAAAUGGAUUCAUGGGCAGAAAAUUGCAGAUUUGGUUCCUAGAUUAUUUGAUAUCAUUCCGAAAAAAAUCACUAACAGAAGGACGGUUCAGGAAGCAUUGACAGAUAGAAGAUGGAUUGCUGAUAUCACAGGAUCACUCUCGGUGGGAGUAUUAUUGGAUUAUCUUCAUCUUUGGAAUUUAAUUUCAGAUUUUGAGCUGCUGCCAGAUAUAGAAGAUAAACAUACUUUUAGUAUUGCUGCAAAUGGGACUUAUUCUGCUAAGGCUGCAUAUGAUGGGUUGUUCAUCGGGGCUGUGCAUUUCGGUCACUAUGAAAGAGUUUGGAAAACUUGGGCCCCCUCUAAAUGCCACUUCUUCCUCUGGUUAUCGGUGCUAAAUAAAUGCUGGACAACAGAUAGGUUGGCAAAGAGAGGACUUGAUCAUCCGGAGAAGUGUCCGCUUUGUGACCAAGAGUCUGAAUCUUUGGAUCAUAUUUUGGUUUCUUGUGUUUUUGCGAGAGAAUUCUGGUUCCGGCUGAAGGUUGAUGUGCAUUUUCAGACUACAAAAUCUGGCUCCUACACCUAGUACGGUGUCUUUUACGGGUUGGUGGGAGAUGAUAGACAAUGGCUCCGGAGAUAUGAUUAUGAAGGGUGUCAACUCCCUUAUUGCCUUGGGAGCCUGGAUUAUUUGGAAUCAUCGGAAUCAAAUUGUCUUUGAUGGAAUCUCCCCUAGUGUUUCUGCAGCUCUUUGUCAGGCAAGGGAGGAACAACAGUUGUGGGAAAUGGCAGGAGCUAAGGGUCUCUCCUUUCUUGCCGCAACCAUCAGGGGCACCUAGCUGCCUGGUUUAUCGCUGAUGGGCUGGUUUUGUUUUUCAGGAUCUGUUUGUUCUUUUUUUGUUUUUUUCUCUUCUUUUUUCUUUGGUUUUUUUAUCCCCUCCGGGGAGGUCUUUUGUACUUUGGUCUAUUUUGGACCCUCUUUUCCUUCUACUUAAUAUAAUGAUGUGCAGUUCUCCUGCGCUUUCGAGAAAAAAAAACGUCAUCCGCGGCCUCAACGAAUGCUUUGCCAACAUUGGUCUUCACCUUUGACGUGGGCGCCUUUCCCCACCUUUUUCGAUGCUUGCUCUGAGCUCCUUCUUGAAGUGCUCAGGCCAUCAGGGCACCUCCAUUGACCCCUACUGCCCUUGCGGCCUCUAUCAUUCCGCCUGCUCCCGCUAGUGCGCCCUUGGUCUUCGGGGCCUGACCUCUGGCUUCCUCUCGUAGUCUUGUGUGCUUUGUGGAGCGUCGGGGGGCUCAGGCCUAGGGCCUUUAGGUCCCGUAGGUCAUGAGUGGGACUCAGGCCUAGGACUCGACUCGUCGGUCGUGGGUGGGAGGCGGACUGGCUCCUUCCUACACCGCGGCUCGGUGCUGGGCGCAGUUAAUGUGGCGUGCGUAGUAUUGAUGGUGAGAGCAGCCCUAGGGCCAGAUGUGGAAUCCACUCGAGUGGCUCUCUGGCGGUUCGUCUGAUCUCCUUGCCAGGCUUCGCCUCGUCCGACCUCUGGCGCGGUGCAUAGGGGUCAUCUGGGUGCAGAUUCACAUAGGCGAGCUUCUCCCUAUCUUAUCUCUCACUCGUGGUCUCGUGGGGGCCCGGGGAUCCGAUCCCCGACACUCGGGAUAUGGAUCGCCGACGUGGGGAAAGGAGGCGCUGGGGUGGCAGCUACACCCGCGGGAGGCUAGGGAGGCGUAGGCCGAGCGCCGAUGGCCGGGUGUAGGGGGAUGCCGCCGACCGCAACCGAGAAGGGGAGGUCUGUCACCGGAGGAGGAGGUGCGGCAGCGGCCGUAAUCGCAAUCGUCCGCGCGAUGGCUGCAGCGGUGGUUGGUGCAGUGGACGUUCGUGCCGCUUGCGUGGGGAGGGAGGCGAGCACAUGAAAAGGAGAAAGGGAGGGAGGCAGUCGUGGACGCCGAGAAGGUGCGGGCGGACGCGGUGACGAUCGCUCUGGGAGAUGCAGGGGAAGGAGAGGGAGGGGUUGCCGGAGGACUGCUCCAUGACGGUGGCGAUGGCCGGGGGUGCGCCGACGGCUAGAGUGCCUGGUGGUUAGGGAAUGUAGAGGCUUGAUACCAUGUUGGAAUAGAAAACCCUAACCAGAGUUGAUAGUGCAUUAAUAUAAUAGAGUUAGGUGGGUCUGAGGCCCAUUACAAUAGAGGCAUUACAAUAGAGCAUACAGUUACGCUAACAGUAUCAAAUGCCUUUGAAAUCUCUAGCUUCAAAAGGAUGUAUGGUUCUUUACUUUUAUGUAGGGUCUGAGCAAGCUGCUGCACAAGUAAGAAAUUGUUGUGAAUAUUCCUCCUAACAAAGGCGCUCUGGUUGUUAGACCAGCUUAGGCAGCAGGGUGCCAAGCGAUAAGCAAAAAUCUUGGUUACCAACUUUGCAAAGCUUGAGUUUUAGGACUUGAGCUUUACAAGAUGAGUUUACAGCUUGGACUUGAUCAGAUCCCAUCUGAGGAAAAGGAUCUCCAGUUUUGGCACUUGAAUUAUCACCAUUGUCGAAUAGCCACCCUAAAAUCAAAGUAUUUAAUUUCUUCUGUGACUGCUAAAAGGUUGAAAUAACUUUUCUAAAAGAAAAUUGCUUGUCCAUGGGAGACCCCUGGGCAUUUUUUAGUUUAUAAGUUAGCAAAUUACAUCCUGAUUGGUGAUUGGCUAGGAAAACUAGCUAAAUCAGUUUCCAGGGAGGUAACCACAAAUUGCUGAGUCCUGGAUUUGAGCACAGGUGGCCUUCCUCUCAACUGGGAAGUACUUUCUAAUUUCCUUUUCAGAUGUAGAUGUAAUAUUUCCAAGAAGUACAACCCUUUUCCUUUUUUCCUUGCACCAAACCUUUUGUAACUUUGUUCCCAGAUACCGGGUUCUCGGUCUUGUUAGAAGUAUAUUACUAAACAAUCUAUCUGCCUACACUGCAUUGUUCAGCAGAUGCUGGAUUAGAUAAAAUGUGAUUUUAACAAGUACUCCCUAUGUUCCAGUUUAUUAGGUGGUAGUGCAUUUUUGAGAAAGGGCAGAUUGUUAGGCGGCAUACAUAGCAAGGCAUUGCAUUAUAAAUUCCUGUGGAAGAAACACAGCCGUUUUAUCCGACCCGAUCCAACAAGUGAAUGCAAUGCACCAGAUCAGUGUGGCACCUGGCGUGAAUUAAAUCUUGCUCACACUCUGGUGUGUGUACUCUUAGCGCCUUUAAAUUGGGUGUGGAGGGAGUGUAUAUGGGUGCAAAAAUAACAUAGCUUUGUACAAGUAAACAAACAUGGUUGGACAUCACUUUUACCUAAGAUUUUUAUUGAGGACUAACUGUCUCUGCUUCUUACAUCCUAGACUGAAAAUUUUCCAUUAGAUGUCCACAUUGCCUUGGAAUGUAUUGAUUGUGCUAUCUCUUUCAGCAUCAACAUGGGAAAUAAGGACUUUGUAUACAUCAGGAUCAUCGAGUCCAAAAUGUGUUGUUACUCUUAUGUUGGAGAUUGCUCCAAGUUUUUGGGGCAGAUGGAAGAGAAGGCACUCAAAUUUUGACAAAAGCAUCCCUUUUGCUUUGCUCAGCCAAGUAGCAGUUCUUGCUUUGCUGUUUUAUUAUGGCCAGGUAUAAGAGAGUACUUCGCAGCCAAUCCAGCCUUGACAUCUGAGCUGCCUUCAACAGUAGUGAAGUCAAAAGCAUCUGAAACUUUGAUCAUCCAGAGUGAACAUGAAGAUUCUGAACUUGGUGAUGAAUUUUAUGAUGCACUUACUAGAGGUGAAUCCUUCGAAGAUGGGGAUAGUGAUGAUGAUGAUGAUGCCACAACUCCAAAGGCUAGAAAAGUAAAGUUGAAGAAUGUGUCAUGGGCUAUUGCAGGCUUGGCUUUAAAGACAACUAAAGGUUGUUGGCGGUGAUCCACUUCUAGAGCUACUUGCGGUCGAUUGGUUCAAAGUUAAUGAACGCUUUGAUUCAGUUGCCUUACAUCCCAAAAGCCUUGUGCAAUCAGAAGCUGCAAAGAAACUUCCUUUCAUAUUGGUUAUAAAUUUGCAGGUGCCAGCGAAACCAAAUUAUAACUUGGUUAUGUACUACGCUGCAGAGAGACCAGUGAACAAAGAUUCUUUGUUGGGUAGAUUCAUUGAUGGAACUGAUGCAUACCGAGAUGCCAGAUUUAAACUUAUACCAAGCAUUGUUGAGGGUUAUUGGAUGGUUAAGCGUGCUGUAGGAACAAAAGCUUGCCUUCUGGGCAAAGCAGUAACGUGCAAUUAUCUUCGCCAGGAUAACUUUCUGGAGAUAGAUGUUGACAUCGGUUCAUCAUCCGUUGCCCGGAGCAUUAUUGGUCUAGUAUUGGGAUAUGUCACAAGCAUAGUUGUUGAUCUUGCUAUUCUUAUUGAGGCCAAGGAAGAGAAAGAGCUCCCCGAGUACAUUCUGGGCACUGUUCGUCUGAACCGUGUGAAUCCCGACAGUGCUGUAUCAAUCUAAUUACGUUUCUAGCCGAUCUAUGCAAAUUUACUCUUAUCCUCUUUUAUUCUGAGAGAAACAGCGUGGCAUUUUGAAAAUGUGAAAUAGCAUUACUAUUUGCUGAUCCCCAAUCGAGGGUAACAUAUGUAAAUUGGCAUGAGGCAUGACUACGUGACGCCUUUCGUAAAUAGAAUAAAUCAAUGGUUAUGUAAUAUUAAUAUCCCAUAUACGCGUGUCAUAAUCUAUGUGGCUUAAAAGUGGCAUCAAGUCAUCUA
Zea mays is the source of this 10487-nucleotide RNA transcript. It is a transcript of the gene named Protein ENHANCED DISEASE RESISTANCE 2, with no coding region annotated. Lineage: Eukaryota; Viridiplantae; Streptophyta; Magnoliopsida; Poales; Poaceae. The record is from RefSeq and is marked validated. The transcript is spliced from 9 exons.